RNAcentral lists this ribosomal RNA (250 nucleotides) under uncultured bacterium. RNAcentral's name for it is "partial 16S ribosomal RNA". It matches the Rfam family "Bacterial small subunit ribosomal RNA", at positions 524 to 773 of the family's 1533-position model. The record is from RNAcentral.
UACGGAGGGGGCUAGCGUUGUUCGGAAUUACUGGGCGUAAAGCGCACGUAGGCGGCGCGACAAGUCAGAGGUGAAAGGCCUGGGCUCAACCUGGGAACUGCCUUUGAUACUGGCGUGCUGGAGUACGGGAGAGGGUGACGGAAUUCCCAGUGUAGAGGUGAAAUUCGUAGAUAUUGGGAAGAACACCGGUGGCGAAGGCGGUCACCUGGCCCGGAACUGACGCUGAGGUGCGAAAGCGUGGGGAGCAAAC